GCAGUCGAGCGACAGAUAAGGAGCUUGCUCCUUUGAAGUUAGCGGCGGACGGGUGAGUAACACGUGGGUAACCUACCUAUAAGACUGGAAUAACUUCGGGAAACCGGAGCUAAUGCCGGAUAACAUUUAGAACCGCAUGGUUCUAUAGUGAAAGAUGGUUUUGCUAUCACUUAUAGAUGGACCCGCGCCGUAUUAGCUAGUUGGUAAGGUAACGGCUUACCAAGGCGACGAUACGUAGCCGACCUGAGAGGGUGAUCGGCCACACUGGAACUGAGACACGGUCCAGACUCCUACGGGAGGCAGCAGUAGGGAAUCUUCCGCAAUGGGCGAAAGCCUGACGGAGCAACGCCGCGUGAGUGAUGAAGGUUUUCGGAUCGUAAAACUCUGUUAUUAGGGAAGAACAAAUGCGUAAGUAACUGUGCGCAUCUUGACGGUACCUAAUCAGAAAGCCACGGCUAACUACGUGCCAGCAGCCGCGGUAAUACGUAGGUGGCAAGCGUUAUCCGGAAUUAUUGGGCGUAAAGCGCGCGUAGGCGGUUUCUUAAGUCUGAUGUGAAAGCCCACGGCUCAACCGUGGAGGGUCAUUGGAAACUGGGAAACUUGAGUGCAGAAGAGGAAAGUGGAAUUCCAUGUGUAGCGGUGAAAUGCGCAGAGAUAUGGAG
Molecule: ribosomal RNA, 662 nt
Filed under: bacterium 54-L049642-122-014-F07
Lineage: Bacteria
Description: bacterial SSU rRNA
Rfam family: Bacterial small subunit ribosomal RNA
Source: RNAcentral